GGUCUUCUGGAUCCGUACCAAGAUUUUUUCAGACACCAGACCAUCAGUACUGAUGAGACUUUUAAGAUAAGUGAAGCG
Molecule: microRNA precursor, 78 nt
Filed under: Schistosoma margrebowiei
Lineage: Eukaryota; Metazoa; Platyhelminthes; Trematoda; Strigeidida; Schistosomatidae
Description: mir-3492 microRNA precursor family
Rfam family: mir-3492 microRNA precursor family
Source: Rfam by way of RNAcentral